GUGCAUCGUUCCAUCACGAUCGUUUGUAAUGUUAUUUUCACUCCGAAAAAUUAUAACAUAACGUUUCAUUAAACUCAUAAAAUGUUCAUUUAUCUUCAACGUGUAUUUGAUUUGAUUGAUAAAUUGAUUUAUUGAUGUAUUUAAUUAACCUGGAAAAUAUCAUUGUCAUUGACAAUCAACAAAACAAAAGACUGAUGACGAAUAAUAUGGAAAAUGAAAAAAUGCAAACUCAAGGCAAAAAUAGAAUCCAUCUAAAUAUCAGAAUUAAAAAUGACAAUUUACGUGGAGUCAAGAAUGGACACAAAAACAACCAUAUAAAAUAAUAAAACAAGAAAUGAAAAUUCACAUGCGGUUUAGGU
Long non-coding RNA from Aphidius gifuensis, 359 nucleotides. RefSeq lists it as uncharacterized. NCBI's taxonomy places the organism in Eukaryota, Metazoa, Arthropoda, Insecta, Hymenoptera, Braconidae. The record is from RefSeq and is a predicted model, not a curated record. The transcript has 3 exons.